This 244-nucleotide ribosomal RNA is filed under the name uncultured bacterium. RNAcentral's name for it is "partial 16S ribosomal RNA". It matches the Rfam family "Bacterial small subunit ribosomal RNA", at positions 333 to 574 of the family's 1533-position model. The record is from RNAcentral.
GUGUUCCUACGGGGCGCAGCAGUGAGGAAUAUUGGUCAAUGGGAGAGAUCCUGAACCAGCCACGCCGCGUGAGGGAAGACGGCCCUAUGGGUUGUAACCCUCUUUUGUCGGAGAACAAAACCCGGGACGAGUCCCGGACUGCGUGUAUCCGAAGAAAAAGCAUCGGCUAACUCCGUGCCAGCAGCCGCGGUAAUACGGAGGAUGCGAGCGUUAUCCGGAUUUAUUGGGUUUAAAGGGUGCGUAG